This is a non-coding RNA of Triticum aestivum (bread wheat), 115 nucleotides long. Lineage: Eukaryota; Viridiplantae; Streptophyta; Magnoliopsida; Poales; Poaceae. The record is from Rfam.
AUAAUACUCCAUCCGUCCGGAAUUACCAAUCAUCAAAAUGGAUGUGUCUAGAACUAAAAUACAUCUAGAUACAUCCAUUUCAAUGACAAGUAUUUUCGGACGGAGGGAGUAGUAG